This 264-nucleotide ribosomal RNA is filed under the name uncultured Planctomycetota bacterium. Its description in RNAcentral is "uncultured planctomycete partial 16S ribosomal RNA". It matches the Rfam family "Bacterial small subunit ribosomal RNA", at positions 565 to 827 of the family's 1533-position model. The record is from RNAcentral. Lineage: Bacteria; Pseudomonadati; Planctomycetota.
GAGCACGUAGGUGGGUUUGUAAGUCAGACGUGAAAGCCCUCUGUUCAACGGAAGAAUUGCAUCUGAAACUACAAACCUUGAGUGUAGGAGGGGAGAAUGGAACUUCUGGUGGAGCGGUGAAAUGCGUAGAUAUCAGAAGGAACGCCGGCGGCGAAAGCGAUUCUCUGGCCUAUUACUGACACUCAGUGUGCGAAAGCUAGGGGAGCAAACGGGAUUAGAUACCCCGGUAGUCCUAGCCGUAAACGAUGGGCACUAAGUAGAGGG